This is a long non-coding RNA of Myotis brandtii (Brandt's bat), 973 nucleotides long. RefSeq lists it as uncharacterized. Lineage: Eukaryota; Metazoa; Chordata; Mammalia; Chiroptera; Vespertilionidae. The transcript has 5 exons. The record is from RefSeq and is a predicted model, not a curated record.
GUUUUGUCUUCCGGAUGGAAAGUAGUGUCAGUCACCAGUGAUUGACAUGGCACUUAAGAAAUGUAGCCAUUAUUAUCUUUCUUAAUCCUCACAAUGACCCUGGGAGGUAGCAGUCAUCAUCUCAUUUCACUCGUUAGGAGACUGAAGCUCAAGAGGAUCAGUCCAGCUCUCAGGCUCACACAGGUGGUGAGAGAGCUGAAAUUCAUUCUAUUCCACAGUUGGUUUUCUGUGCAUGCUGCUAUCUUAGAUGUAUCCCAGAGAUGCAGGGAGCGUCCUCCUCUAGACUGUUCAUGUCUGUGAUUAUGCCUAUUCAGGUGGAAAAGGAGAUGAAACAAUCUGGGGUGGGUUAGCUGCCUUUUGUCGUGAGCCCAUAAACUCUGGAUAUUGAUCACCUGCAACUAUCCCACAGGUCUGCAUUAAUCUUUUGAAAGGUUGGUCUCCAUAUCUUCUCUCUGAACACCUUCUGGACAGUGACUUAGUAUCCCUGCCACUUAGCACAGUGUUUGGCAUUCAGCAGGUGUUGGAUUGUUACUAGAAAUCAUCAAGAAUAACAUUAGAGGACCCUGUUAAUCCAAGACUGACAACAGAGGACAGAGAUGCUCUCUAAGCAUAAAGCAAGGAAUACUCUGGGAGAAUUUGGAGAAGUAGGUGGAUGACACAAAACCAUUAUGAAUAGAUCAAUUGACAGCCAAGAGAAUCAAGACAGUUUUUAGGAAACCAGGCUUAUCACUAAUAGAAGAGAAAAAAUGCAGGAUGGUAUGAGGCUACUCUGAGCAAUUUUUGGAUCUCUCUUUGUUUCAACCUAGAAGACAUGACUUUGUGGGGUGAAGGAAGAGACAGUUGCCCCUGGGCACUUUGGAAUACCAGAACAUACGAUUAUCAGCACACUUCUGAGGAGAAGGAAAUCAUAACUCAAUCAACAACCAGGGGAAAAUAAAAUCUCACCAUGAUUUGCGCAUGCCCAUUAGGAAAA